CUCUUGCUGUGGCUGGGCUGUAUACAGGUCUGGUGCUCAGCACACAGCCCCCCCACCCCAGCACACAGCCCGCCCCCCAUUUCCUCUUUCCUGAAGGGGAAAGAGGCUCAGAGAAGCCAGGUAAUUGGCCCAAGGUCACACAUAAAGUAAGCGGUUGGGGGGGGGGGAUUUGAAUGAUUUUACCACUCAAAACACUUGCCCCCAAGGUAUUUGUACUCAGCCCUGGAGGGCAGCAGGGGCAGAAAGAACCAAAUACAGUUUGGUGAUCAAUGUCCCAAUGGCUGUAAGAACAAAGUGGAGCAGGAGCCCGAGACCAGUCAGCGAGUAUAACCUGAUGCUCUCAAAUGAGGCUUAUUUUGCCUCUUAGGGGACAUCUUUCUUGUUUGUCACAACUGCAGAGGGGGUGCCACUGGCAUCUAGCAGACAGAGCCUAGGGUGCCUCUACAGUGUACAGGGCAGCCCUACCACCACCACCCAAAAAUGAAUCAUCCAUCCCCAAAUGUCAGUAACGUGAGGCUGAGGAACCCUGAUGCAUCUUAGGCUGGACCUUAAAGGGGGAGGAGGGAUCCACCAGGCAGAGAGACCCUCGGGGCCUGGAGAACACUGGUUGGUUGGAGUGGGUGGGGUGGCAGUUCAGAGGCCUACUUUCCCAGGUGUCUUAGUCUGUUUUCUGUUACUAUAAUGAGAUACCACAGACCAGGCAAUUAUAGAGAACAGAGGUUUCCUGAGCUCACGGUUCAGGAAGCUGGGAAGUCUAAGAUCCUGACCAUGUGGUGAGAGCCUUCUUGCUACAUCAUAACCGGUGAGAGGUCAUCAUAGUUGGUAAGGGCCAGAACUAUAGGCCACUGAUGCCAUCAUGGGAACCCCACCCUCAUGACCUCAUCUAAUUCUAAUUACCUUCCAAAGGCCCUAAUCCAAAUACCAUUAACAUGACUUUUAGGAUUGAACUUGCAACCCUUGAAUAUUUGGGGGCACAUUCAAACCAAAGCACCAGGCUGUGGAGAGCUUGGGCACCUGGAAGGCAGCUGGAGUCAUUUGAGGGUUGUGUGUAUGCCUUUUAAAGAUUUUUAAAUUUUGAGUUUUUAAAAUUGGCUCAUUUUAUUUUUUUGAGACAUGGUCUUGCUAAUUUGCUGAGGAUAGCCUCAAACUUGUGAUCCUCCCACCUCAGCCUCCUGAGUUGCCAGGAUUACAGGUGUGCAUGACCACUCCUAGUUCCUUUUUUAAUUCUUGAGACAGGGUCUCAGUUGCUGAGGCUGGCCUGGAACUUGGAAUUCUGGAAUUAAGGUGUGUUCCACCACACCUGGCCAAAGAGCACAAAUCUCAGUCUCUCUCACUCCACCCCACUCCCCAGCUGCCCAGUUCUCUCAAGAACUCACCAGGCUAGUCUGUUUCUUGAAUUUUUUUUCCUAGCACGCGGUUUAAAUCCAGAACCUUGCACAUGCUAGGCUCUCCCACUGAACUACAUUCCCAUUCCUUUUUAUUUUAUGCUGAGACAGGCACUCACUAAAUUGUCCAAGUUGGUCUCAAACUUGGUGAUUUUCCUGCCUCAUCCAUCUGAGUAGCUGGGAUUAUAGGUGUGCACUACUAUGCGCAGCUUUUGGAUGUUCUUGAGCUCAUCUGUACAUACACAAUUGUGUGUGACUGUGUGUGCGCAUGUGUGUAUUAAAGUUGU
This 1672-nucleotide long non-coding RNA is filed under the name Marmota monax (woodchuck). The record is from RNAcentral. Lineage: Eukaryota; Metazoa; Chordata; Mammalia; Rodentia; Sciuridae.